RNAcentral lists this ribosomal RNA (555 nucleotides) under uncultured fungus. RNAcentral's name for it is "eukaryotic LSU rRNA". It matches the Rfam family "Eukaryotic large subunit ribosomal RNA", at positions 58 to 643 of the family's 3401-position model. Lineage: Eukaryota; Fungi. The record is from RNAcentral.
AAAGAAACCAACAGGGAUUGCCCCAGUAACGGCGAGUGAAGCGGCAAAGCUAAUUUGAAAUCUGGCCCCAGGCCCGAGUUGUAAUUUGCAGAGGAUGCUUUUGGCGCGGUGCCUUCCGAGUUCCCUGGAACGGGACGCCAUAAGGGUGAGAGCCCCGUACGGUUGGACACCAAGCCUUUGUAAAGCUCCUUCGACGAGUCGAGUAGUUUGGGAAUGCUGCUCAAAAUGGGAGGUAUAUUUCUUCUAAAGCUAAAUAUUGGCCAGAGACCGAUAGCGCACAAGUAGAGUGAUCGAAAGAUGAAAAGCACUUUGAAAAGAGGGUUAAACAGCACGUGAAAUUGUUAAAAGGGAAGCGCUUAUGACCAGACUUGCGCCCGGUGAAUCACCCAGCUCUCGCGGCUGGGGCACUUUGCCGGCUCAGGCCAGCAUCAGCUCGCUGUCGGGGACAAAAGCUUCAGGAACGUGGCUCCUCUCGGGGAGUGUUAUAGCCCGUUGCACAAUACCCUUCGGCGGGCUAGUACGCGCUCCGCAUGGAUGCUGGCGUAAUGGUCAUCA